RNAcentral lists this non-coding RNA (27 nucleotides) under Rattus norvegicus (Norway rat). Lineage: Eukaryota; Metazoa; Chordata; Mammalia; Rodentia; Muridae. The record is from RNAcentral.
UGGGAAAAUGGCAUUUAGAAGGGAGAC